RNAcentral lists this ribosomal RNA (434 nucleotides) under uncultured Pseudoflavonifractor sp. Its description in RNAcentral is "partial 16S ribosomal RNA". It matches the Rfam family "Bacterial small subunit ribosomal RNA", at positions 341 to 792 of the family's 1533-position model. Lineage: Bacteria; Bacillati; Bacillota; Clostridia; Eubacteriales; Oscillospiraceae. The record is from RNAcentral.
ACGGAAGGCAGCAGUGGGGAAUAUUGGGCAAUGGGCGAAAGCCUGACCUAGCGACGCCGCGUGAGCGAAGACGGUCUUCGGAUUGUAAAGCUCUGUGUACAGGAACGAUAAUGACGGUACCUGUAUAGAAAGCCACGGCUAACUACGUGCCAGCAGCCGCGGUAAUACGUAGGUGGCAAGCGUUAUCCGGAUUUACUGGGUGUAAAGGGUGUGUAGGCGGGCGAUCAAGUCAGAUGUGAAAUCCAUGGGCUCAACUCAUGGGCCGCGUCUGAAACUGUUAUUCUUGAGUGUCGGAGGGGUAAGCGGAAUUCCUGGUGUAGCGGUGAAAUGCGUAGAUAUCAGGAGGAACACCGGUGGCGAAGGCGGAUUACUGGACGACAACUGACGCUGAGACACGAAAGCGUGGGGAGCAAACAGGAUUAGAUACCCUGGUA